GAGCGGCCGAUAUCAGAUUAGGUUGUUGGUGGGGUAAAAGCCUACCAAGCCGACGAUCUGUAGCUGGUCUGAGAGGACGACCAGCCACACUGGGACUGAGACACGGCCCAGACUCCUACGGGAGGCAGCAGUGGGGAAUUUUGGACAAUGGGCGCAAGCCUGAUCCAGCCAUGCCGCGUGCGGGAAGAAGGCCUUCGGGUUGUAAACCGCUUUUGUCAGGGAAGAAACGCUCCGGGCUAAUACCCUGGGGUAAUGACGGUACCUGAAGAAUAAGCACCGGCUAACUACGUGCCAGCAGCCGCGGUAAUACGUAGGGUGCAAGCGUUAAUCGGAAUUACUGGGCGUAAAGCGUGCGCAGGCGGUUGUGCAAGACAGAUGUGAAAUCCCCGGGCUUAACCUGGGAACUGCAUUUGUGACUGCAUGGCUAGAGUACGGUAGAGGGGGAUGGAAUUCCGCGUGUAGCAGUGAAAUGCGUAGAUAUGCGGAGGAACACCGAUGGCGAAGGCAAUCCCCUGGACCUGUACUGACGCUCAUGCACGAAAGCGUGGGGAGCAAACAGGAUUAGAU
Molecule: ribosomal RNA, 567 nt
Filed under: uncultured bacterium
Lineage: Bacteria
Description: bacterial SSU rRNA
Rfam family: Bacterial small subunit ribosomal RNA
Source: RNAcentral